AUGAGUGCCAUAAUGGCGGAGGGAGUGGAAUGGGGGCGGAAGCUGGACCAAAUAUUACAAACAUUGAAUGAACUAAAGAUAAGCUCUGAUAGCUUAAAGAAGGGGAAUGAUGAAUUAAAAGAACAAGUUGAAAUGAUUAACACCCGGCUGGGAUCAAUGGAGUCAAAGGUGCAACAGUAUGAAGGUAAAUUUAUGGAGAUGCAAGUGGAGACUAGAAAACAGAAAGAGGAAAUAGCCAACUUAAAAAAACAUUUAGAAAGUGCAAACCAAAAACUCCUAAACAAGAUUGCUGACCAGGAAGAUCGGUCACGAAGAGCAAAUAUACGCCUGAGAACAGCAGGGCAGGAUUUUCAGAUGAGUGACAAUUUAAAACAAAAUAUUGUCAGUUGGCUACAGACUUUGAUGGAAAUCUCACCGGACGAUAUAGAACAAUCGCAUUGGGCUUAUAGAGGUAGAAAAAAACCCAGAGACAUUUUGAUCCAUUUUUCAAGGGAGGCAACGAAGGAAAAGGUGUAUAAUCAGCUUCGGAAAAUAAAAGACCUUACCUUGGCAGGUAAAAAGGUCUGGCCUCUCCUGGAUCUUUCAUCAGAGACACUGGAUAAAAGAGCACAGAUGAAAGAAAUUACAAAAGUCCUGGAGGGGAAGAACCAGCGAUAUACUUGGGCUUUUCCUGCCACCCUGAUCGUCUAUAGAGAUGGUAAAUUAUAUAAAGCUACUGAUUUGGCUAGUGGAAAGACCAUGCUUAGACUUCUGAGAUUUUGUACAGAAGGGGGAGUAUCGGAUGAGACGGAGGAAUCAGAUAAUGAAGAGGUCCAUAGAAGCUUCAAAAGAAAGAAGGGGAGUAAGAAGGCGAAGGACACUCUUCAGGCAGCUGGACAGAUAAGAUCAACAGAGCUGGAAGCUGCAGACAGAGGCGGGCAAAUAGAAUCGUGCUCGACUCAGAGUAUAUCUGUUAUUGGAGACUUGAUGAAUAGGGAAGGAGAGCAUGGUCAAGAUUUACAAGAGACUAUAGACUUAAGAAAUUUGAAGCAAAUGGACUUAGACCAAAUACGAACUUUGGAAAAACAAUUGAGAGAACUAAAAAAGCAAAAGCUGUAA
This 1098-nucleotide long non-coding RNA is filed under the name Anolis carolinensis (green anole). Its description in RNAcentral is "lncRNA (ENSACAG00000043792.1)". The record is from RNAcentral. Lineage: Eukaryota; Metazoa; Chordata; Lepidosauria; Squamata; Anolidae.